UACGAAGGGGGCUAGCGUUGUUCGGAAUUACUGGGCGUAAAGGGCGCGCAGGCGGUCGCUCAAGUCAGGCGUGAAAGCCCCGGGCUCAACCUGGGAAUAGCGCUUGAGACUGAGCGACUUGAGUUCGGGAGAGGAGAGCGGAAUUCCCAGUGUAGAGGUGAAAUUCGUAGAUAUUGGGAAGAACACCAGUGGCGAAGGCGGCUCACUGGCCCGGUACUGACGCUGAGGUGCGAAAGCGUGGGGAGCAAACAGG
Molecule: ribosomal RNA, 253 nt
Filed under: uncultured bacterium
Lineage: Bacteria
Description: partial 16S ribosomal RNA
Rfam family: Bacterial small subunit ribosomal RNA
Source: RNAcentral